AUGAACGCUGGCGGCGUGCCUCAUCCCUGCAAGUCGAGCGAACAGACGAGGAGCUUGCUCCUCUGACGUUAGCGGCGGACGGGUGAGUAACACGUGGAUAACCUACCUAUAAGACUGGGAUAACUUCGGGAAACCGGAGCUAAUACCGGAUAAUAUAUUGAACCGCAUGGUUCAAUAGUGAAAGACGGUUUUGCUGUCACUUAUAGAUGGAUCCGCGCCGCAUUAGCUAGUUGGUAAGGUAACGGCUUACCAAGGCGACGAUGCGUAGCCGACCUGAGAGGGUGAUCGGCCACACUGGAACUGAGACACGGUCCAGACUCCUACGGGAGGCAGCAGUAGGGAAUCUUCCGCAAUGGGCGAAAGCCUGACGGAGCAACGCCGCGUGAGUGAUGAAGGUCUUCGGAUCGUAAAACUCUGUUAUUAGGGAAGAACAAAUGUGUAAGUAACUAUGCACGUCUUGACGGUACCUAAUCAGAAAGCCACGGCUAACUACGU
RNAcentral lists this ribosomal RNA (495 nucleotides) under uncultured bacterium. RNAcentral's name for it is "partial 16S ribosomal RNA". It matches the Rfam family "Bacterial small subunit ribosomal RNA", at positions 29 to 506 of the family's 1533-position model. The record is from RNAcentral.